This 29-nucleotide non-coding RNA is filed under the name Homo sapiens (human). The record is from RNAcentral. Lineage: Eukaryota; Metazoa; Chordata; Mammalia; Primates; Hominidae.
UCUAGGGGCAUGACUCCUGCGAUGAUGGA